RNAcentral lists this unclassified non-coding RNA (195 nucleotides) under plant metagenome. RNAcentral's name for it is "partial contains small subunit ribosomal RNA, internal transcribed spacer 1, and 5.8S ribosomal RNA". The record is from RNAcentral.
UCUCCGUUGGUGAGCCAGCGGAGGGAUCAUUACCGAGUUUACAACUCCCAAACCCCUGUGAACAUACCAUUUGUUGCCUCGGCGGUGCCUGCUUCGGCAGCCCGCCAGAGGACCCAAACCCUUGAUUUUAUACAGUAUCUUCUGAGUAAAUGAUUAAAUAAAUCAAAACUUUCAACAACGGAUCUCUUGGUUCUG